UGGGGGAUAUUGCGCAAUGGGGGAAACCCUGACGCAGCAACGCCGCGUGAAGGAUGAAGGUCUUCGGAUUGUAAACUUUUGUCUUUGGGGAAGAAUAAAUGACGGUACCCAAGGAGGAAGCCACGGCUAACUACGUGCCAGCAGCCGCGGUAAUACGUAGGUGGCAAGCGUUGUCCGGAUUUACUGGGUGUAAAGGGCGUGUAGGCGGGAACAUAAGUCAGAUGUGAAAUCUGGGGGCUCAACCCCCAAACUGCAUUUGAAACUAUGUUUCUUGAGUAUCGGAGAGGAAAGCGGAAUUCCCAGUGUAGCGGUGAAAUGCGUAGAUAUUGGGAGGAACACCAGUGGCGAAGGCGGCUUUCUGGACGACAACUGACGCUGAGGCGCGAAAGCGUGGGGAGCAAACA
Molecule: ribosomal RNA, 404 nt
Rfam family: Bacterial small subunit ribosomal RNA